RNAcentral lists this ribosomal RNA (305 nucleotides) under uncultured bacterium. RNAcentral's name for it is "bacterial SSU rRNA". It matches the Rfam family "Bacterial small subunit ribosomal RNA", at positions 333 to 653 of the family's 1533-position model. The record is from RNAcentral.
UUGUACCUACGGGAGGCAGCAGUGGGGGAUAUUGCACAAUGGGGGAAACCCUGAUGCAGCGACGCCGCGUGGGCGAAGAAGUAUUUCGGUAUGUAAAGCCCUAUCAGCAGGGAAGAAGAAAUGACGGUACCUGAGUAAGAAGCACCGGCUAAAUACGUGCCAGCAGCCGCGGUAAUACGUAUGGUGCAAGCGUUAUCCGGAUUUACUGGGUGUAAAGGGAGCGUAGACGGUUAUGCAAGUCUGAAGUGAAAGCCCAAGGCUCAACCAUGGGACUGCUUUGGAAACUGUAAAACUGGAGUGCAGGG